GAGAGCUGGGAAGGGUGGGGCGAGAAAAUCCCGAGGAAAGCCAGUCAAAGCGGGGAGAGCUGGGAAGGGUGGGGUGAGAAAGAAACCGAGGACAAGUCUAGGAGGAAGGCGAGCCAAAGCGGGGAGAGCUGGGCAGGGUGGGACGACGUGAAGGAGGAUGGCGACGAUAGUCAUCAUCAGCAGAACAAUUCAUCGAAGGGCGUCGGGCAAA
This 211-nucleotide unclassified non-coding RNA is filed under the name Hevea brasiliensis (rubber tree). Lineage: Eukaryota; Viridiplantae; Streptophyta; Magnoliopsida; Malpighiales; Euphorbiaceae. The record is from RNAcentral.